Long non-coding RNA from Bubalus bubalis (water buffalo), 1297 nucleotides. RefSeq lists it as uncharacterized. Lineage: Eukaryota; Metazoa; Chordata; Mammalia; Artiodactyla; Bovidae. The transcript is spliced from 2 exons. The record is from RefSeq and is a predicted model, not a curated record.
UCUCCUGUUUUGCAGGCGGAUUCUUUACCAGCUGAGCCACAAUGGAAGCCCUCUUUAGGGGAGGGAGCUGGGAAAGCUUUAGGACCAUCAUAGCCAAGUUCGGGGCAGCCUAAUCACUGCUGGUGAGGGUUCAUCCUCCAUGAUCCAGAAGCUCCGUGGGGAAGAGGCAGGGCAGGACCUGCAUUGAUCUUGGAAAACUGAAGUCAGAGGUCAACACCUCCUGUGUCUAGGAUGAAGGGCAGGUGCUACCUUCUGGAUGGGCCCAUAUGGCAAGGAGAAUCCAGGUGCUGGUCCUUUAUAUAAGCACCCAGAGCCCUGUGAGUCCUGCAGCCCUCUCCCAGCAACACCUCCUUUGCCACCUCAGAACUCCCACCCAGAACGCCUCUAAGAGCUCAGGCUCAGUCAUAACAACCCCAAAAGUGACCCCAGCACACCUCAGAUCCUGCAAGUGCAAAUGCUUGUAAAGGUGCCUGGGGUUGGAGGGUGAAAGGCUGGAAGAUGAAAAACAUCUUUGCUACCUUCCUUUCCCAAAGACUCCUGAGUUACAGGCAGGGAGCCCUGAGAGAAAGGGGUGCUGCUCUGGCUCCAUGUCCUUGGGAGUUCCCUGCACUGAGUCCUUGAAAGUGAUCCCUUCUUCUGGGGGGAAAGGCAUUAUGGUGAUUUAACCCAGUCUCAACUGAAUUCCCUGGUCCUGAGCAUGUGGCUGCCCCCAGAGAAGUUAGGUUGUUACAUUGGGCCUAUCAUUUCCAUCUAUUGAGAUGAUUUCCAAAGCCAGCUCAGACUUGCUGACUUGUCCCUGGCUAGGACACGCCUCUGCAGGAUCCAACCCUGUCUCUCUGUCCUCAUCCGUGGCCCAGAUGGUGAAGAUGCAGGCCAGGAUGUGGUUCUGUGGCUCACCACAGUGGCCUUCCCACCGCAUGGACCCAUCCACCAACACACCUGAGAUGCUCAGCCACCUACAAACCCCUUAAACACACCCUCUUGCAGCCCACGUCCCUGCAUUCUCCCACGAGACCGACUUCAUGGGAGGCUCUGCCAACACAAGGAAGAGUGAGUGUAAGGCAGUGCUGCGAGCUCUCAGAUGUUCCCCAUGCUCAGGAGUCAGUGAGCCGGGCUGACCUAGCAUAGUGUGACCAACUGGGUCUUUCCUGGCCUCAGCACUGAAAGUCCCUUGUUUCAGAAACUCUCUGUGCUUGGAAAACUGGGAUGGUUGGUCAUGCUGGUCCAGUGACCUCUUUCUCAGCCUACCAGACACCUUCUUUCCUGCUCUUCUCCUUUCUGCCUUCCCAUCAACAAA